AAAUAAGAAACAAAAUAUUUGUAUUUAGUUUCGACCUAAAAAUUUGAUGUAAUU
RNAcentral lists this transfer RNA (54 nucleotides) under Sarophorus sp. SAR01. RNAcentral describes it as "partial tRNA-Arg". Lineage: Eukaryota; Metazoa; Arthropoda; Insecta; Coleoptera; Scarabaeidae. The record is from RNAcentral.